GACGAACGCUGGCGGCGUGCUCAACACAUGCAAGUCGAACGGAAAGGCCCUGCUUUUGUGGGGUGCUCGAGUGGCGAACGGGUGAGUAACACGUGAGUAACCUGCCCUUGACUUUGGGAUAACUUCAGGAAACUGGGGCUAAUACCGGAUAGGAGCUCCUGCUGCAUGGUGGGGGUUGGAAAGUUUCGGCGGUUGGGGAUGGACUCGCGGCUUAUCAGCUUGUUGGUGGGGUAGUGGCUUACCAAGGCUUUGACGGGUAGCCGGCCUGAGAGGGUGACCGGCCACAUUGGGACUGAGAUACGGCCCAGACUCCUACGGGAGGCAGCAGUGGGGAAUAUUGCACAAUGGGCGGAAGCCUGAUGCAGCAACGCCGCGUGCGGGAUGACGGCCUUCGGGUUGUAAACCGCUUUCGCCUGUGACGAAGCGUGAGUGACGGUAAUGGGUAAAGAAGCACCGGCUAACUACGUGCCAGCAGCCGCGGUGAUACGUAGGGUGCGAGCGUUGUCCGGAUUUAUUGGGCGUAAAGGGCUCGUAGGUGGUUGAUCGCGUCGGAAGUGUAAUCUUGGGGCUUAACCCUGAGCGUGCUUUCGAUACGGGUUGACUUGAGGAAGGUAGGGGAGAAUGGAAUUCCUGGUGGAGCGGUGGAAUGCGCAGAUAUCAGGAGGAACACCAGUGGCGAAGGCGGUUCUCUGGGCCUUUCCUGACGCUGAGGAGCGGAAGCGUGGGGAGCGAACAGGCUUAGAUACCCUGGUAGUCCACGCUGUAAACGGUGGGUACUAGGCGUGGGGUCCAUUCCACGGGUUCCGUGCCGUAGCUAACGCUUUAAGUACCCCGCCUGGGGAGUACGGCCGCAAGGCUAAAACUCAAAGGAAUUGACGGGGCCCCGCACAAGCGGCGGAGCAUGCGGAUUAAUUCGAUGCAACGCGUAGAACCUUACCUGGGUUUGACAUGGAUCGGGAGUGCUCAGAGAUGGGUGUGCCUCUUUUGGGGUCGGUUCACAGGUGGUGCAUGGCUGUCGUCAGCUCGUGUCGUGAGAUGUUGGGUUAAGUCCCGCAACGAGCGCAACCCUUGUUCACUGUUGCCAGCACGUUAUGGUGGGGACUCAGUGGAGACCGCCGGGGUCAACUCGGAGGAAGGUGGGGAUGACGUCAAGUCAUCAUGCCCCUUAUGUCCAGGGCUUCACGCACGCUACAAUGGCUGGUACAGAGAGUGGCGAGCCUGUGAGGGUGAGCGAAUCUCGGAAAGCCGGUCUCAGUUCGGAUUGGGGUCUGCAACUCGACCUCAUGAAGUCGGAGUCGCUAGUAAUCGCAGAUCAGCAACGCUGCGGUGAAUACGUUCCCGGG
Molecule: ribosomal RNA, 1343 nt
Filed under: uncultured bacterium
Lineage: Bacteria
Description: 16S ribosomal RNA
Rfam family: Bacterial small subunit ribosomal RNA
Source: RNAcentral